GUUUAGGUAGCUCAGUUGGUCAGAGCGAAGGACUUAAAAUCCCUGUGUCAGUGGUUCGAAUCCACUUCCAAGCA
This 74-nucleotide transfer RNA is filed under the name Ginkgo biloba (maidenhair tree). Its description in RNAcentral is "tRNA-Leu". It matches the Rfam family "tRNA". Rfam says of the family: Transfer RNA (tRNA) molecules are approximately 80 nucleotides in length. Their secondary structure includes four short double-helical elements and three loops (D, anti-codon, and T loops). The record is from RNAcentral. Lineage: Eukaryota; Viridiplantae; Streptophyta; Ginkgoopsida; Ginkgoales; Ginkgoaceae.